Molecule: ribosomal RNA, 253 nt
Filed under: uncultured bacterium
Lineage: Bacteria
Description: partial 16S ribosomal RNA
Rfam family: Bacterial small subunit ribosomal RNA
Source: RNAcentral
UACGAAGGGGGCUAGCGUUGCUCGGAAUCACUGGGCGUAAAGCGCACGUAGGCGGAUUGCUAAGUCAGGGGUGAAAUCCUGGAGCUCAACUCCAGAACUGCCCUUGAUACUGGCGGUCUCGAGUCCGGGAGAGGUGAGUGGAACUGCGAGUGUAGAGGUGAAAUUCGUAGAUAUUCGCAAGAACACCAGUGGCGAAGGCGGCUCACUGGCCCGGUACUGACGCUGAGACGCGAAAGCGUGGGGAGCGAACAGG